RNAcentral lists this ribosomal RNA (384 nucleotides) under uncultured bacterium. Its description in RNAcentral is "bacterial SSU rRNA". It matches the Rfam family "Bacterial small subunit ribosomal RNA", at positions 30 to 416 of the family's 1533-position model. The record is from RNAcentral.
AUUGAACGCUGGCGGCAUGCUUUACACAUGCAAGUCGAACGGCAGCACGGGGGCAACCCUGGUGGCGAGUGGCGAACGGGUGAGUAAUGCAUCGGAACGUAUCCUUAAGUGGGGGAUAAACGCAUCGAAAGAUGCGCUAAUACCGCAUAAUCUCUGAGGAGAAAAGCAGGGGAUCGCAAGACCUUGCGCUUUUGGAGCGGCCGAUGUCUGAUUAGCAGUUGGUGAGGUAAGGCUUACCAAGGCUUCGAUCAGUAGCUGGUCUGAGAGGACGACCAGCCACACUGGGACUGAGACACGGCCCAGACUCCUACGGGAGGCAGCAGUGGGGAAUUUUGGACAAUGGGGCAACCCUGAUCCAGCCAUGCCGCGUGAGUGAAGAAGGCC